Molecule: long non-coding RNA, 1649 nt
Filed under: Lathyrus oleraceus (garden pea)
Lineage: Eukaryota; Viridiplantae; Streptophyta; Magnoliopsida; Fabales; Fabaceae
Description: Pisum sativum (pea) long non-coding RNA (PSAT_LNC022084)
Source: RNAcentral
AUUAUUGAAUCUGUUUCAAGGCAAAGAUUUUUUCAAUUUCUUUUAUUAGUAUAUUCGAUAACAAAAAUGAUAUCAUAAAAUUCGAUUUUAAAGGAGGUAUAAACUUCAAUCUCAACUGAAAAAGAUAUCAAGAAUUAUCCCUAAAUAUGCUACCACAAUUUGAUAUUCUAGGAUUUUCUCUUGAAACUUCACCUCUAUUAUGCUUAAUCUAAUCAUGACUAGAAAAUCACCAAUUAAUUUGUAUGAUUCUAGAUGCGGAAGGAUGUCAACAUUUCACGUUUACAACUUUAAUUAUAAAUGAGUUUUGUAUUCUCAUUUAAAAAAAUCUAUUUAUUUGAAAAAUAAAAUAUGAAAUAAAGUUUAUUUUAAAAUAUUAAUUAAUACACAAAAUAACAAAUUUAAUAUGCCGCCUUUUUCAACUCUAUUAAAUUUUUUUAAAAAAAAAUUAACUUUAAAUUUAUCUUAUAUAUAAUAAAGGUUAUAUAAAAAAUAACAAACAAACAGAUAAUAAAUAAGGUUAANAACAAAUUUAAUAUGCCGCCUUUUUCAACUCUAUUAAAUUUUUUUAAAAAAAAAUUAACUUUAAAUUUAUCUUAUAUAUAAUAAAGGUUAUAUAAAAAAUAACAAACAAACAGAUAAUAAAUAAGGUUAAUAUAUUAUUAUUCUUUUAAAUUACAAAAUCAAUCCUCUUAAAAAUAUAGUUACUUUUAAAAGACAGAACAUUUUAUAUGUGAAUUUUUGCAUAAAAAUAUUCACUGAAUCUUUAAAAUAUAAAUAAAUAUUCUUAGCAUUCUUUAAUAAACAAUUCUUUAAAAAAAUUCUAUUUUUUAUUAUUAAAAGUUGUAUUCAAAAUCUAUUGGAUAUUAAAUAUAACUAUUUUUUUAUUCGUGGGUUUUGUAAAUAAUUUCUUUAACAUUUAAAACAAUUUUUUUAUUAGUAAUUAGAAAACAGUUACUAUCCAAUAAGAGAUGAUAAAAGAUUUAUUUUAGUUUAAUCUGAAAUUCUGGUUUGAAUUCUAUUAAAAAUUCUAGGUUUCGAUUUUUAAAAAAAAAACAUCGUUGUUAAAAAUACAAUAAAGUCAAGAAAAACUUUGAACUUAAUUGAUUUUUUUCUACAAGUCUUAUCUUAUCCAAAACUCGAAUAAAUUGGACUAUGGUCCACUUCCUUAUAAAAAUAAAAAUUCCAAUAAAUAGCACCACGUUCAACCAACUCAAACAAGUCAUAAAAUAUCAUUUUCUGACUGUCGGGGACAUAUUACAGUUGGCAUCUUUCUCAUCAUAAUUGAGUUAUAAUACCUUUUGAUCUUCUCCUAGAUCUAAAUCCAUUCAUUUCUAUAUACUAUUUCAGUCGACAAACUUGACCAAAACAUGCCUUAAAUUACCUUCUAACUUCUCACAUUAAUUAUUACUAUAAAUACAAUCCACCUACAUAUCAAAAACACAUUCAUUCACACAACAAUGUCUUUUCCAUUAUUUCUCACUUUAUUACUCUUAUCUUUCUCCACUUUCAUAGCUCAAGCCAUAGUUCCACAAAAUGAAACCUUCAAAUUCGUCAACUCAGGUGAACUAGGACCAUUCAUAGUAGAAUAUGGAGCUGACUACAGAAUGAUAAGCAUAUUCAAUGCUCCAUUCCAAGUUGGUUUUUACAAC